Endogone sp. FLAS-F59071 is the source of this 84-nucleotide non-coding RNA. NCBI's taxonomy places the organism in Eukaryota, Fungi, Mucoromycota, Endogonomycetes, Endogonales, Endogonaceae. The record is from the annotation of a GenBank genome assembly.
GAGAUAAUGGCAGAAUGGUUUUGCAUCUAGCUGUAGUCUAGAAGGUCUUAGUACCCAAUGGGAGUUCGACUCUCUCUUAUCUCA